UACGUAGGGGGCGAGCGUUGUCCGGAGUUACUGGGCGUAAAGGGCACGCAGGCGGUGCGGCAAGUUUGAGGUAACAGCUCCCGGCUUCACUGGGAGAGCGCCCCAAAGACUGUCGGACUGGAGGGCCAGAGAGGGACACAGAAUUCCGGGUGGAGUGGUGAAAUGCGUAGAUAUCCGGAGGAAUACCAAAGGCGAAGGCAGUGUCCUGGCUGGCACCUGACGCUGAGGUGCGAAAGCUAGGGGAGCGAACGG
This 252-nucleotide ribosomal RNA is filed under the name uncultured bacterium. RNAcentral describes it as "partial 16S ribosomal RNA". It matches the Rfam family "Bacterial small subunit ribosomal RNA", at positions 524 to 775 of the family's 1533-position model. The record is from RNAcentral.